CACCGCGGUUAUACGAGAGGCCCAAGUUGAUGACCACCGGCGUAAAGGGUGGUUAAGUUAAAACUCACACUAAAGUCAAACAUCUUCAAGAUUGUUAUACAUACCCGAAGACAGGAAGUUCAACCACGAAAGUGACUUUAUAUGAUCUGACCCCACGAAAGCUAAGGAA
This 169-nucleotide ribosomal RNA is filed under the name Hemilepidotus hemilepidotus (red Irish lord). Its description in RNAcentral is "partial 12S rRNA". The record is from RNAcentral. Lineage: Eukaryota; Metazoa; Chordata; Actinopteri; Perciformes; Cottidae.